GCCCUGUGGUUACUGGUCCUGUUGUUCCCGUGCAGUGCCCCAGUGUGAAUAAGGGCAAACAGUAACACUGUGAUAUUUUGCAUGAGGUCUCCUUGUUUUUAGCGGCCCUCAUAGCCCGGUCACAGUGACAUUA
Small nucleolar RNA from Bombina bombina (fire-bellied toad), 133 nucleotides. RefSeq annotates it as small nucleolar RNA SNORA84. The record is from RefSeq and is a predicted model, not a curated record. NCBI's taxonomy places the organism in Eukaryota, Metazoa, Chordata, Amphibia, Anura, Bombinatoridae. The transcript has a single exon.